Non-coding RNA from Puma concolor (puma), 232 nucleotides. The record is from RefSeq and is a predicted model, not a curated record. NCBI's taxonomy places the organism in Eukaryota, Metazoa, Chordata, Mammalia, Carnivora, Felidae.
GAGGGCGGAGAGAGGUGGCAUUUGAGUCCUCCGGUAUCCCAGCAGGCAGUGCAGCUUAGAGACGCUGACAAAGGACCGGAGGAGCAGUCGCAGCUGCUUUCCGAGGAGCCGGUGUUGCCGAGUUUUGACAUUUAACUCUAGUUUCUGAAAACGAGAAACUACAAGAAAAGCUUCCCCAUCCUCUAAUAGCCCAAUAAAAGAGAGACAGAGCAUGAUCGGGCGAGGGGCAGAG